AACGGUCUAUACCUGCGGUACCUGCGGAGGGAUCAUUACCGAGUUUACAACUCCCAAACCCCUGUGAACAUACCACUCGUUGCCUCGGCGGAUCACCGCGCCCCGUGAAACGGGCCGGCCCGCCAGAGGACCUAAACUCAAAUGUUUUAUUGUAUCUUCUGAGUAAAAACACAAAUAAAUCAAAACUUUUAGCAACGGAUCUCU
This 204-nucleotide unclassified non-coding RNA is filed under the name soil metagenome. RNAcentral's name for it is "partial contains 5.8S ribosomal RNA, internal transcribed spacer 2, and large subunit ribosomal RNA". The record is from RNAcentral.